This 159-nucleotide ribosomal RNA is filed under the name Thanatephorus cucumeris. RNAcentral's name for it is "5.8S ribosomal RNA". It matches the Rfam family "5.8S ribosomal RNA". From Rfam's summary of the family: 5.8S ribosomal RNA (5.8S rRNA) is a component of the large subunit of the eukaryotic ribosome. It is transcribed by RNA polymerase I as part of the 45S precursor that also contains 18S and 28S rRNA. Functionally, it is thought that 5.8S rRNA may be involved in ribosome translocation. The record is from RNAcentral. Lineage: Eukaryota; Fungi; Basidiomycota; Agaricomycetes; Cantharellales; Ceratobasidiaceae.
AAGUUUCAACAACGGAUCUCUUGGCUCUCGCAUCGAUGAAGAACGCAGCGAAAUGCGAUAAGUAAUGUGAAUUGCAGAAUUCAGUGAAUCAUCGAAUCUUUGAANGCACCUUGCGCUCCUUGGUAUUCCUUGGAGCAUGCCUGUUUGAGUAUCAUGAAA